CCCGCCCCAACGGCCCGCAGAGAAUCACUUGUCUUCGCUGCCAAAAUAAAAUCUAAGUGCAAAGGAAAGAUUAGGAGAUUCCAAGCGGAGCGGCCAGAUUCCAGCAGGGAGAGCAAAAAGCCCUCUCCAAGAGGGGUAGUAAAAGUGAACUUCAAGGUCAGCCUUGCACUGACUCACCACUUUCUACUCUGUCAAACUGUUUUCCCCGUGACACGAGUGCAAUUUUAUCUUUGAUUUCCCCUUAUGCUUAGGAUACAUAAAGUCAAAGGAGAACAUUGCCCUGAUCCUAACAAUAGGAAAGUAUUGGAUGAUCUAUAAAAAUAUAACUUUCUUGGAAGCUAUCAUAGAGCUGAAGUGGUGAGACAACAAAGUAAACCAAAUUCCAAAGAUUGGCAGAUAGGACUCAAAAUGCUUCACUUUGUCAGAGAACGAAGGAAAAAUUUGGUCCAUCAGGUAAGAAGAAAUCCAAAAAACAUUUAAUAAAGACCUAAAGGGUAAAUUUGAGGUAGCAUAAAAGUUUAGAAUAACUGGGAACACCCAGUGCAAGAGAGUUUACACUCACUCCUAAGCUCUUUUCUAUGAAUCUUCUAAGGGGUUCAUGGAAAAGAAUGAGAGCAGGUCAUGACACCAGAAAUACUCCAUGACUGCAAAAUAGAAGUGGAACAAUAUCAAAAUAUGGCUCACUUCCCUGGGCUCUUCUUAUUAAGAAGAAAAAUGCUUUAAGCUGCUGAGGAAGGGAGAGCAAACCAUCUUGUGACCAGGGAUCAGACAAAGAUCCAAUGCUUGAGAAGAAGCAAAAAUGCAUCACUUCCUGGGGAAGGGUCAGUUAGUUCUGCUUUCUGACAUCAGAAACCAAGAAAAUAUUUUAGGAGAGUGAUAGAAUCAAAAUUGUCUGCCACUGGGGGACAGAAGAGAAAACAUUACAGAUCUAUAGACACAGAGAUAUACUAUUUCUAGGAACAAGGAGGAGUAAAAUUCUCUCUCCUGUUUAAGAACAUCCACAGAUAUGUCUGACUAUGGCUAUCAUUGAGAUGAGAGAAACAAGACUAAUACCAAACCUGCCUUUCUGACCCUCGGGGACACAAGUAUUGUCUACAAUUGAGAUCUCACUAGAAGAACCAAAAACCCACUCCCUGCCCCCACCAUGAGCCUAGAAUGGAAUAAUAAACAGUGGUAGAGAGAAAAUGUGAAGAGAAACCCACUAUUUGACACAGUCAUGCAACAGAUUUGGAAAGCUGUGGAUGAAGCAGAAAUACUGAAAAACCUAGCACUAUGGUUCAGGCAGCCCACCACUGAAGCAGUUUGAAGGAUAACAACAUCAACAAUACAACACAAAUCCAACUGAAUCAUUUACUGCCAUUGUUAACAGAAGAGUUGUAUUCAUUUCCAGCUGUAAAUAUUCUUUAUCUCAGACUCUACUGUUCUUCAGUUGACCAUGUUCAGCGUAAUUCUAAAAUUACGUGGCAAACAAAGAAGCAAGAAAAAAAAAAAAAAA
RNAcentral lists this long non-coding RNA (1495 nucleotides) under Sus scrofa (pig). RNAcentral describes it as "lncRNA (ENSSSCG00055011620.1)". Lineage: Eukaryota; Metazoa; Chordata; Mammalia; Artiodactyla; Suidae. The record is from RNAcentral.